This 497-nucleotide ribosomal RNA is filed under the name uncultured bacterium. Its description in RNAcentral is "partial 16S ribosomal RNA". It matches the Rfam family "Bacterial small subunit ribosomal RNA", at positions 28 to 507 of the family's 1533-position model. The record is from RNAcentral.
GAUGAACGCUGGCGGCGUGCCUAAUACAUGCAAGUCGAGCGAACAGACGAGGAGCUUGCUCCUCUGACGUUAGCGGCGGACGGGUGAGUAACACGUGGAUAACCUACCUAUAAGACUGGGAUAACUUCGGGAAACCGGAGCUAAUACCGGAUAAUAUAUUGAACCGCAUGGUUCAAUAGUGAAAGACGGUUUUGCUGUCACUUAUAGAUGGAUCCGCGCCGCAUUAGCUAGUUGGUAAGGUAACGGCUUACCAAGGCAACGAUGCGUAGCCGACCUGAGAGGGGGAUCGGCCACACUGGAACUGAGACACGGUCCAGACUCCUACGGGAGGCAGCAGUAGGGAAUCUUCCGCAAUGGGCGAAAGCCUGACGGAGCAACGCCGCGUGAGUGAUGAAGGUCUUCGGAUCGUAAAACCCUGUUAUUAGGGAAGAACAAAUGUGUAAGUAACUAUGCACGUCUUGACGGUACCUAAUCAGAAAGCCACGGCUAACUACGUG